AUUUUAUUAAAAAAAGAGAGAAAAGGAAUGUGAAGAGUAGCAACGAACAAUCCAAAUCCCAUUUAGAAGGGAAAAAAUUAACCCACAAGACCUUACGCCAUAAAAAAUAGGGACAAGAUCAUAGUAAUUAUAUAGUUCAAAAAUUAAAACACCCAUCACGUCUCACAACAAUUAUUCUUUACAUAAUCACACCUUUUUGUUAAAAUAAAUACUAAAAAUAAUGGCCUUCAGUUCAUCUUUGAUAAAAGCCGAACCUUAAAAUCUGUAUGCCGUAAAAUCUUUUUCUUUUUUCAUGUUAAUCCACACUUCCACAUUGAGAAAUGAUAAAAUUAAAAUAAUGUAAAAGAACGCAAAUUGAUCCUCUAGGCACCCCUAGCCAACAUCUCCUCAAAUUCAAGAAUGGAUUUCUCCUUCUGAAGCUUUAUUUCUUGAUGAAAUUUGGAUAUAAAUUCCUCAGCCCUCUCAUCCACUGGUCUUAGCUGCGGUGAUUUAGCAACAACUUCUCUCCAAGCAUCUUCAAUGCUAUACAGCACCUUCUCCUUCUCCUUUUCCUUUUCUACUUUUCUCGGCAAAACCUGCUUAUCAACCACCUGUUUACCUCUGCUGCUAGUUUCUGCAUGGAAAUGCUUCUUGGCCUGAAGCGAAUACGACGAACCUUCAGCCUCCACAGAAUAGAGUUGGUCUAUGUAUAUGGGUGAGAAGUUCUUAUGAGCCUGGCUCUUGUUGCUAUAAUAGUGUCGGUAAAGAUGACUAUUAUUAUAAUGGUAGCCACGAUAUGGUGGUCUGGUUACGGAACGUUUCUUUAAAGGAUCAAAGAAACGGAUGGAGCAAUAAGAGAGGAGGCGAUUGGAGCUGGUCUUGAUGCCCUUGAUGGCUCCAGAGAAAUUCAGGUUAUGGAAUUUUGACUCGACUGUCUUGGCGAAGCGUUUCCACGCCCUCUUUGCCGGUUGAAGCUUCUUUUCCAGGCCCGAAUAAGACAUCAAGUGUUUGAUUUUCUUCUUGGAAAUGGAUAAAGAGAGGAUUUCUAAAGAAGGGUUUGCAUUUGUUGUCAUGGACCGUCAGGUUAGUCUUGAUAUAGGAUGCAUAUAUAUGUGUUGGUCCGAAAAUGACAUUGCAUCUUUCAGAAUAUAACUAGAAUGCCACUCCUCAAUCAUAG
RNAcentral lists this unclassified non-coding RNA (1156 nucleotides) under Hevea brasiliensis (rubber tree). Lineage: Eukaryota; Viridiplantae; Streptophyta; Magnoliopsida; Malpighiales; Euphorbiaceae. The record is from RNAcentral.